Molecule: ribosomal RNA, 1156 nt
Filed under: Marisediminitalea alba
Lineage: Bacteria; Pseudomonadati; Pseudomonadota; Gammaproteobacteria; Alteromonadales; Alteromonadaceae
Description: bacterial LSU rRNA
Rfam family: Bacterial large subunit ribosomal RNA
Source: RNAcentral
UAGGGGAGCCGUAGCGAAAGCGAGUGUUAACUGCGCGUCUAGUUGCUAGGUAUAGACCCGAAACCCGGUGAUCUAGCCAUGGGCAGGUUGAAGGUUGAGUAACAUCAACUGGAGGACCGAACCCACUAACGUUGAAAAGUUAGGGGAUGACUUGUGGCUGGGGGUGAAAGGCCAAUCAAACCGGGAGAUAGCUGGUUCUCCCCGAAAUCUAUUUAGGUAGAGCCUCGGACGAAUUCCAUUGGGGGUAGAGCACUGUUAAGGCUAGGGGGUCAUCCCGACUUACCAACCCUUUGCAAACUCCGAAUACCAAAGAGAACUAUCCGGGAGACACACGGCGGGUGCUAACGUCCGUCGUGAAGAGGGAAACAACCCAGACCGCCAGCUAAGGUCCCAAAAUAUUGCUAAGUGGGAAACGAUGUGGGAAGGCCCAGACAGCUAGGAGGUUGGCUUAGAAGCAGCCACCCUUUAAAGAAAGCGUAAUAGCUCACUAGUCGAGUCGGCCUGCGCGGAAGAUGUAACGGGGCUAAGCAAUAUACCGAAGCUGCGGCAGCAUGUUUACAUGCUGGGUAGGGGAGCGUUCUGUAAGCCGCUGAAGGUGAACUGUGAAGUUUGCUGGAGGUAUCAGAAGUGCGAAUGCUGACAUGAGUAACGAUAAUGCGGGUGAAAAACCCGCACGCCGGAAGACCAAGGUUUCCUGUCCCAUGCUAAUCAGGGCAGGGUAAGUCGGCCCCUAAGGCGAGGCAGAAAUGCGUAGUCGAUGGGAAACGGGUUAAUAUUCCCGUACUUAUAUAAUCAGUGAUGGAGGGACGGAGAAGGCUAAACAAGCUUGGCGUUGGUUGUCCAAGUGAAAGUGCGUAGGCUGAGAACUUAGGUAAAUCCGGGUUCUUAAGGCUGAGAGACGAGACGAGCCACCAAGGUGGUGAAGUUGUUGAUGCCCUGCUUCCAGGAAAAGCUUCUAAACUUAUGAUUAUGUAAACCGUACCCCAAACCGACACAGGUGGUCAGGUAGAGAAUACUAAGGCGCUUGAGAGAACUCGGGUAAAGGAACUCGGCAAAAUUGUACCGUAACUUCGGGAGAAGGUACGCCCCUGACUGUGAUGGAACUUGCUUCCUAAGCGGUCGGGGGUCGCAGUGACCAGGUGGCUGGGACUGUUUA